ACGAACGCUGGCGGCCUGCCUAACACAUGCAAGUCGAACGAGACCUUCGGGUCUAGUGGCGCACGGGUGCGUAACGCGUGGGAACCUGCCCUUAGGUUCGGAAUAACUCCCCGAAAGGGGUGCUAAUACCGGAUAAUGUCUUCGGACCAAAGAUUUAUCGCCUUUGGAUGGGCCCGCGUUGGAUUAGCUAGUUGGUAGGGUAAAAGCCUACCAAGGCGACGAUCCAUAGCUGGUCUGAGAGGAUGAUCAGCCACACUGGGACUGAGACACGGCCCAGACUCCUACGGAAGGCAGCAGUGGGGAAUAUUGGACAAUGGGCGAAAGCCUGAUCCAGCAAGGCCGCGUGAGUGAUGAAGGCCUUAGGGUUGUAAAGCUCUUUUACCCGGGAUGAUAAUGACAGUACCGGGAGAAUAAGCUCCGGCUAACUCCGU
RNAcentral lists this ribosomal RNA (431 nucleotides) under uncultured bacterium. Its description in RNAcentral is "partial 16S ribosomal RNA". It matches the Rfam family "Bacterial small subunit ribosomal RNA", at positions 29 to 506 of the family's 1533-position model. The record is from RNAcentral.